AUUUUGCUUCAAUUUUAGCGUGCAAAUUGGGCAAAAUGGUUCUAGGGCACUUUUGGCACUAUUUUCAUUUUCGGUGGCUUGAAACCCGAUUGUAUCUCCUUCUCUCCUGUGAUUGAAACGAGUGAUAUCAAUUUUCGGUGGCUUGAAGAUAAACCCAUCUGCAUCUCUUUCUCUCUCGCGACUGAGAUUUCCAAACACGCAUUUUCGAUGGCUUGAACUCUUUCAAGAGACUAAGAAUCAUAUCAAAUGUCGAGUUUCUGCAAGAAUAAUUUCGAAACACCCAUAUUCUGUGGCUUGAAGUGCUUUCAAGAGAGUGAGAAUCAUAUCAAAUUUCGAGUUUCUUCAAGAAUACGGCGUCAAAGACAGGGGAAAAGCUAGCAUCCAACAUCUGGCUACAUAUCUACUGCACCUAACGUUGUUCACCCGAGAGAUGAUUGAAAAAGGUAUUGGUUUGCAUUGGUUUAAUGAUUUUGUAGUUUUUGGUGUAAGAUUUCUAAUGUUUUGCAAUACUAUGACUUCAUGACUCUAGUGUAAGAUUUAGGGGAUUUGUUGUGUGAUUAGCUUAGGUGGUUUUUAUUUACUUUUUUCAUUUCAGCCAUGGUUAUUGCACGCUGUUAAAUUUGAAUUAUCGUUAGAUAAAUUAUUUUAUUGUUGUACAUUAUUCGACAUUGUAAUUAAUUUGUUUGUUGGAGGGAAAGAAACUUUGGAAUAUGAAAAUAACAUUAUAUCGGUGGAGUCCGAUGAUGAAAAUGUUGUGGAUAAUAUGAGCAUACAGGGUGAUGAUAUGUUAGUUGGAGAUGGUGCGAUUGUGCCCGAGAUAGGUAUGAAAUUUAAGGAUGCAAAUGAAAUGUUCGAGUUUUACAAAAGAUAUGCAUACAAAAUUGGUUUCCCAGUUAGAAAGAAAAAUUCGAGAAAGGAUGAUGGAGUAUUGAGAAAUAUUACAUUUGUUUGUAGUCGUGAAGGGAAAAGAAUAAAAAAUACAAGCGGUUCUUUGAAGCCCUCAGCAACCAUUCAGAGUGGAUGUAAAGCCAGGAUCACUGAUGUUCAGAUAUUUGCGGAAUACGAAAAAUUAACACAGUAUACCUGGGUCACAAUCACAAUACAAGCCCUUCGAAAUCUAGGCUAUAUUGAUGCAACCGAGAGUUAAGUGCACAUGUGAAACGACGACUUGAAGUAAAUGACAUGACAGGAAUUUCGUUGCACAAGAGUUACAACUCUGCAGUUGUUGAAGCAGGGAGAUAUAGGAAUAUGACUUGCAUUGAAUGAGAUUGUUGAAACUAUGUCGAAAAAGUGAGACGAUUACGACUUGGAGAAGAGGCACAUCAGCAAUGCAAUCAUACUUCUCUAAAAUGCAAGCACGAUACUCGGGCUUUUACUUUAAUAUGGAUUUGGGUGACGAUUUGCGUCUAAAGAAUGUUUUCUAGGCAAAUAAUAAUAGGAGUAGGCAGGCAUAUAAAGAGUUCGAUGACGUUGUCACGUUCGACACCACGUAUCUCACUAAUAAAUAUGAUAUGCCAUUUGUCCCUUUUGUUGGAGUGAACCACCAUGGACAGUUGACACUCCUUGGAUGUGGUCUGGUAUUGAAUGAGGAUACAGAGACAUUUGUGUGCUAUUUUGGACAUGGCUGUAAUGUAUGUAUGGACAAGCUCCACAUGGGAUAAUUACAGAUCAGGAUAGGGUUAUGCAAAAUACAAUACACAUUGUGUUCUCCAAUACAAAGUAUAGAUGAUGCUUGUGGCACAUACUUAAAAAAUUGCUUGAGAAGUUUGGAUGCCAUGUGGAUAAGAGUUCCAUAUUUAGUACUCUACACGGUUUGGUCUAUGAUUGUCAAUUUGCGGAAGAAUUCAAAAACGACUGGAGAGUGAUGAUCGAAACAUUUAACUUGUAUGAUAAUGAAUGGCUGGCGGGUUUAUAUGAGAAUAGGGGACGUUGGGUACCUUGCUUUUUGAAAACUACAUUGUGGGCAACGAUGUCAACAACUCAACAUAGUGAGAGUAUGAAUGCAUUAUUUGAUGGUUAUGUACAUUCGAAGACGACAUUGAAGCAAUUUGUUGAACCAUACAAAUGAGCAUUGAGAAAUAAGGUUGAGAAAGAGUUUCAAGCGGACUAUCCUUCUCGCAAAUGGUGCCGUGUGCAACGAGAUAUGAAAUGGAGAAACAAUUCCAAGCAAUUUACACAAUUUCAAAAUUCAAGGAAGUUCAAGAAGAGUUCACAGGUAAGGUUUAUUGCGACCUCAUAUCUAUUUUGAAGGGACCAUCGGGGACGACUUAUGAGAUACGAGAGGAUGUAAUACAUGAUGAGCGUUCGAAGAAAAAAAACUUUUUCUUCUCAUUUCAAAGAGACGGAUGUGAAAUCACUUGCAGUUGUCACAAUUUUGAGUUUCGAGGGAUUAUUUGCAGACAUACGAUCACAGUAUUGAUUUGUAAUGAUAUCAAAUCUGUACCAGAAAGGUAUAUUAUAUGGAGAUGGCGAUGAGAUGUCAGUAGAGCCCACACGACGGUAACAGUGCAUUAUGAUGCUAUGGUUAGUAUUCCUAGACAACUGAGGUACAACAAAAUGUGGAACAUGAUGGCAGAUGAUGAAGUCAAAUCCAAUGUCAUAAUUGAGUGGAUCGAUAGUCAAUGUAAAGAAAUGAUGAUGUAGAAGUCAAAUAGUAAUAGUAAUAUCCUAUCCCCGCAUAUUACUCAGACAUCAUCCGAGUAUGGAGCAUCACUGGAUAUUGGAAGUGGUAGCAUCAGGGAUCCAGAAUGUGCGAAAAGAAAAUGUGCCCCUAGGAAACUUCAGAAGAAUAGCCCAUUGGAAUCAAGUAUGAACAGAGUUAAGCCAACUUCGAGUUCAACGAAGGGAAGAAAUCGAAGGUUCGUGCAAGUAAUAUGGGAACUGAUGCACCCAUCGUUUAGUUACCUCAACAAUUACACGUGCUGCUACCUUUCUCAAAUACACACUUCCUUAUGGGUGGCAACCAAAAUCUUCAAUUCACUCAACACUUGCAGUCCACAUGUAUCAACCCUCCAUCCUAACAAGUCUUCUAUUCAAUAUGCAAGGUUUGGCUAGAAGACAUAUGAAUGAUGCUGCUGACAAUGAAACACGACAGUUAAAUACAGAUGCACUUGCAAAAGUUGGACCUUCUAUAACAUCAUCAACCCCAAUAUAUGAGUUCUAGACAUGUAUCUGGACAUCUUCACGUUGGCUAAACACUGAGGGAUAGCUAAUCAAGAAUAUGGUUUUUGGUAUUUAUGUAAGUUGCUACAUAGUACAACUAAAGAAAUUAUUGUUUUCGGAUUCCAUCGAAAACAAUGCUUAAUCUGAUAAAAGUGGGUAAUUAUUAGGAAAGCGCUUACAUGUUUUCAAUAUGACAAGGCUGUGCUAUAACCGUAUGAUAAAAGUGGGUAAUUAUUUGCCAUCCUGGCGUUACCAUAUGAUAUGGAUGCACACAACUUGUGUUGCAGACUUUGGAGUGCACAAUGAUAAGCUUCAUUGUACCUAGACCUAAGUCAGAGUUUCUAAUAUUUUUGUUGGACAUCUAAUGCUGCUAAGUAUUUUUCUCCCCUCUUUUACAGAAUAAGAUUUUUAUUUGUAGGGUUAGAGUGAUUGGUUGUGGAUUGAAUUAAAUACUUGGCACGUACAUAUAAAGAGACUGGAGAACAUAUUAUUUUGAUAUACCCUUUGAUCCUUUCAGCUUCUGAUUGCAUUUGUUGCUUAGUUCGAAUUUGGAAUAGCUUAAUAAUUGAGUUUGUAUGAUCUCUUAGUUACGAAUUCAAUAAUGACAUCAGAUUACUUGAAGUUGAGUUUGUUUACUUCGGUUGGAAAUUCCAAAUCAGAUUACUUGAAGAAGUUGAGUAUGUUUACUUCUGUUCGAAAUUCCAAUGAA
Molecule: long non-coding RNA, 3871 nt
Organism: Olea europaea var. sylvestris
Lineage: Eukaryota; Viridiplantae; Streptophyta; Magnoliopsida; Lamiales; Oleaceae
Exons: 6
Source: RefSeq, a predicted model, not a curated record